Molecule: ribosomal RNA, 253 nt
Filed under: uncultured bacterium
Lineage: Bacteria
Description: partial 16S ribosomal RNA
Rfam family: Bacterial small subunit ribosomal RNA
Source: RNAcentral
UACAGAGGUCUCAAGCGUUGUUCGGAUUCAUUGGGCGUAAAGGGUGCGUAGGUGGCGCCGUAAGUGGGGUGUGAAAUCUCGGGGCUUAACUCCGAAACUGCAUUCCAUACUGCGGUGCUCGAGGACUGGAGAGGAGACUGGAAUUCAUGGUGUAGCAGUGAAAUGCGUAGAGAUCAUGAGGAAGACCAGUGGCGAAGGCGGGUCUCUGGGCCGAUACUGACGCUGAGGAGCGAAAGCGUGGGGAGCAAACAGG